Long non-coding RNA from Mustela erminea (ermine), 888 nucleotides. RefSeq lists it as uncharacterized. The record is from RefSeq and is a predicted model, not a curated record. The transcript is spliced from 4 exons. Lineage: Eukaryota; Metazoa; Chordata; Mammalia; Carnivora; Mustelidae.
CCCUGGCCAGCGCCCAGCACCCCGCACCCCGCACCCAGCACCCCGGGGCGCUCAGCGAGCAGGCAGGUGCAGUCACAGCAUGAGCCGCCCUGCCCAGGGCAUCCUCGGCCGCGCACCUGUAACGGAGAACUGUCCUAUGAGAAAAGCCGCUGAGUGAGGUCACGAUGGAGGACCCCGCAGAGUCCCCGCACUCAGGACAACGUGCGCAGCGCGAUUUGCUCCUGAAGCUGCCGGCAUGAGCUGCGCUAGUCCUUCCUGGCGGCCCUGCCGGAGCCGGAGGAUCAGGGCUUCCACCGGAGGAAAAGGGCCCCUCGAACGGCAGCGUGUUCGGUUCUAGCCAAAGACACGGGAGGCGCCGUGUUCGUGUUUCCCGGCUGAAAACCGUGUGCCUUUCCGUGAGGGCGCUCGGAUGGUCAACACGCGGUCCCUGGCCUGUGCCGUGUCAGGCGCGGCGGGCUCCCAAAAGGCCAGGAUUCCCUGGGGGACUCGGACCCACGUGGCCGAUGGACACCUCGGGCCUGUGUGCUGCGUGUGGGCGUCUCUGCUCCGCACAACAUGGUGGUGUGACUGCGAACCCGCCAGUGUGCACUUCUAGGAAGGAGAACGAAGUACAACAGUCAUCUCAAGAAGAAGAAUCCACAUUCAAAGUCCAGAAAGCAACAGGACAAAGUUACCGUCCGGAAAGUCAUCCAAACAGACCAAUGAGCCGAACCUGUGCUCCCUGGCGUUGCCGGACUCCGGGCAGCACCCGACCUGGACCCAUCGGGUUUCCUUCUGGCUCGCGGUACGAUCGGGUGUACUCAUGUUGUGCUCUAAUAUAGCAAUUUAAAACGAGAGAUUAAGAAAGAGGGGGGUGCCUGGGUGGCUCAGUGGGUUAAAGCCGCUGCC